RNAcentral lists this long non-coding RNA (2591 nucleotides) under Nicotiana benthamiana. Its description in RNAcentral is "long non-coding RNA (NBEN_LNC034085)". The record is from RNAcentral. Lineage: Eukaryota; Viridiplantae; Streptophyta; Magnoliopsida; Solanales; Solanaceae.
CUGGCUUUAACUAUUUUGAGACGAAAUGGGCCAGCAACAGGCCCAAUUUGUUAUCUACAAGAGUCUUUAAGAGAAAUCAUGGCUAGUUGAGAUUCGGCUCGGAAUGGAGCCCAAGAGUGAAGACAAAAGGGCAAAGCAAGCUUGGUCUUAACCUGGUAGAUUCAAUUGGGCCAGUACCAAGGCCAACUUUAAAGGUAAGCUUUCAAUGUUGGAAUAUAUUUAUUAUAUUAACAAAAAAAUUUGGAAAAAUGUGCUGAAGAUACUCAGGACUAAAUUGAUCUCAAAAACUGAAAGAGAACAAGAGCCAUUCACAUGGAAUUUGGUUCCAAAACCAGCUGCCACAUCUGGGCGAAACACCAGGCCCAAUUAUACUAAACAGAGAACCUUUGGUGUCCAGGCCUUGAUUUGGCAUGAUUUCAUUUUUUGCAUAGAAAUUAGCAAUUACUAACAAUAUAGAAUAUUAGCCAAUAUUAUAAAUUAAUUUGUUUAAACAUGCAGCUAAUACUAACAAUAAGGGACUACAUCUCAAACCCGUUCAUGAAUCACCCCAAAACAAAAUAUAUAAUCAGUUUAACAAGGCAGGGAUGUGAAAUAGUUUGACACUGCUCUUUACAGUACAUACACAACCUAUCCUAAUAAAGAUCAAAUGAACUAACAAGUCACUUUAGCAUUUUAAAACUUUCAAAAAACAAUACACGAUGCAGAUGAACUUAUCCGUCUAUUCAUGCAUGUAACUAAGCUAAUAGCACUGAAUAUUGGAUGUAAAAUACCUAACAACAUAUUAAACCAAGAAAGAGCCUACACAAGGAAAUCUGUAAUUUAACAAUUGGAUAAUCAAUUUUAAUACAAUAAACGGCUAAAUAUAUGCUUCAAACUUCAUUUUCCUUUCAAGAGUUAAAGAGGUACCGGAAUAUCAAGAACCAAAACAAGAGUAAAGUCAGAAUUUCAGCAAGGAAUCAGUGGAGACAGUCUCAAAUCAACAACUAUGCACAAGGCAAACCUAGAAAACUAGAAAUCUAGCCAAGGCUUUUCUAAGUUCUUGCUAAAGAAAAAUCAGAAAAAAACAUACUAACUCCCAAUGAAACCAUGCAGAAAACCCUUUUUAGUCUUUUUAAGGGUUCGAAAAUAUCUGAUCACCAAAUGUGUAGAGAAAAGCUCUAUUUUAUAAGCAUCUAAAAUGCCAUGUGCUGAAACAAAAUCAUGAAAUUAUUCCCUUCAACCACAAAGUCAUAUUUUAACAAAGUUGGAUAGUUGGUUCCCCUUCAUUGGCUUCAUAAAUUUGUGCUACCCAAAUGAGGCCAGCUGUCCCUAUUCUAUAACUUUCCCACAUGGUCUUAUCAUAUUUCACACUUACACACCCUUAAAACAAACCUCUUAAGUUUUCUUUAUUUUUUAAUUAAACCCUACAAGUUCUUAACGACUUACAAACUGUGGCAAACAGAAACAACCAGGCACAUAUCAAUAGAUAAAUCAAAUAGCAAAUAACAAAGCUAAAAGUGUGAACAUAUGUAAAUUUAAAAUAAAUCUAACCUAUAAAAUGAACCAUAUUUAUAAUGAAACUCAACAAUGUUCUUCAAACUAACAACUUUGAUGAUGAUAAUACAAAACGACUGAAUAAAAGCUAAAACUAGGCUAACUAGGCAUUGAUUGAACUAAACUAUUUAAAAGUAAACUAAUUAAGAAAUUUUAGGCAUACUAAAAAGUCAAGACAACAAAGAUACCUAAAACUACCAUAAUAAACAAAACUAUUUUAAGAGAUAAACUAAUUAAUCCAAUCAGCAUACUAGUAUAGUGCAUCAAAACAACAAAAAAAUUACUAAAACUAAUAAUAAACUAAACUAAUUUACGAGUUAAACUAAUUGACCGUGAGCUAAAUCAAAUGAACAAACCCUAUCAGAGAACUUGGUUGAACAUGAUUACAAAUAAAACAAGCAAGCAAACUAAACUUAAAAAAAAAAAAGAAAUUACUAAGUCGACCUAAAGAGAAGAGAAAGAAAGGGACUGUAGUGAUAUUACCCCUUGAGUGGAAGGAAAAGUGAGGGUGAUUUUGACAACCUGCUCUGUUCCGAUUGACCAUUUAAAGGUCUUUUCCUUCAAGGGAUCCAGACUUGCAUGUGUUCCGAUUGGAUCUCCUUGAAAGAAAAGACUUAUGAGAUGGCCAAACAUAGGUGAGUCCUUAAACUCGACUACUGAGGGAAAAACAGACCCAAGAAUUCGAAGUAGUCUGGAUGUUUACUGGAUCUAGAUUUUUGACUUUUGGGGGGUAAUUUGGAGCAAUCACUCAGGAGUUUGGGUUUAGAGGGGUAUGGAGGUUAUGAGGUUUGGAUUUGAAUUGGUUUGGGAGGAAUCUGGGUGAACUAGGAUUUGGUUUCAGAUCUAGAAUCGGCAAGUUUAUGUGAUGAUUUGGUAGAAGCUGAUGAUGUAUUCAUGUUGCAGGGGCUGUAGGGAGUGUAGAUUGUGACUUCGGGUUUGCUUGAUGAUGGGAGCCGCCAUAGAAAGAUUUCCGGUGGGCGGCGGAUGGUGGUGAGGGAAUAGAGAAUAAGGGCGGCUAGGGUUUGCAAUUUCGAGAGACGGAGGGAAAAUGGGGAGGG